GAUGAACGCUGGCGGCGUGCCUAAUACAUGCAAGUCGAGCGAACGGACGAGAAGCUUGCUUCUCUGAUGUUAGCGGCGGACGGGUGAGUAACACGUGGAUAACCUACCUAUAAGACUGGGAUAACUGCGGGAAACCGGAGCUAAUACCGGAGAAUAUUUUGAACCGCAUGGUUCAAAAGUGAAAGACGGUCUUGCUGUCACUUAUAGAUUGAUCCGCGCUGCAUUAGCUAGUUGGUAAGGUAACGGCUUACCAAGGCAACGAUGCAUAGCCGACCUGAGAGGGUGAUAGGCCACACUGGAACUGAGACACGGUCCAGACUCCUACGGGAGGCAGCAGUAGGGAAUCGUCCGCAAUGGGCGAAAGCAUGACGGAGCAACGCCGAGUGAGUGAUGAAGGUCUUCGGAUCGUAAAACUCUGUUAUUAGGGAAGAACAUAUGUGUAAGUAACUGUGCACAUCUUGACGGUACCUAAUCAGAAAGCAACGGCUAACUACGUG
Molecule: ribosomal RNA, 497 nt
Filed under: uncultured bacterium
Lineage: Bacteria
Description: partial 16S ribosomal RNA
Rfam family: Bacterial small subunit ribosomal RNA
Source: RNAcentral